AUACGUAGGGGGCGAGCGUUGUCCGGAAUGAUUGGGCGUAAAGGGCGCGUAGGCGGCCCGGUAAGUCUGGAGUGAAAGUCCUGUUUUUAAGAUGGGAAUUGCUUUGGAUACUGUCGGGCUUGAGUGCAGGAGAGGUUAUCGGAAUUCCCGGUGUAGCGGUGAAAUGCGUAGAGAUCGGGAGGAACACCAGUGGCGAAGGCGGGUAACUGGACUGCAACUGACGCUGAGGCGCGAAAGUGUGGGGAGCAAACAGGAUUAGAUACCCUGGUAGUCCACACUGUAAACGAUGAAUGCUAGGUGUAGGGGGUAUCGACCCCUUCUGUGCCGCAGUCAACACAAUAAGCAUUCCGCCUGGGGAGUACGGCCGCAAGGUUGAAACUCAAAUGAAUUGACGGGG
RNAcentral lists this ribosomal RNA (397 nucleotides) under uncultured bacterium. Its description in RNAcentral is "partial 16S ribosomal RNA". It matches the Rfam family "Bacterial small subunit ribosomal RNA", at positions 523 to 918 of the family's 1533-position model. The record is from RNAcentral.